AACCGACGCCUGUGGAGAUGCCCCAUUGCACAAAAAUGCGCGUUCCAAUUCUCGGGGAUAGGGCCGGCCGCGAAAUGGCAGAUGACCACAUUGCGGUGCGGCAGACCUAUCUUCUUUUGACCACGGCCAUCAUCGUGCGGUCUUCAAACCGAUUGGCUGGAGAUGUCGCCCAGGGCCUUAAUCAGAUCAGUGUCGCUAUGGGGCAUAGCCGUCGUCGCGGCAACCGCCAUCCACAACCUACUGCGUGAAUGAUUCGAAGUCUUUACAACCUCCUCGGCUCGGACGCUCGAUAGUAGGCCUGCAAACCCAAACGCUCGGCGAGAAAGGUCGAAGCAGCCUGCACCCCCGACGCAAAUCCAUCUCACCGGCUCGAAUUCCGACCGCAAAACGAUGCGCUCUUUAUCAUCUGGCACAUUCAUUCAGGUUCGGGAGACUGCGUUUGCUCGAGACGUAUUCACCAUGUGCAUUAAAGUCUUCUUUCUUAUAGAUUCAAAACGCGAACCUGCGGAUAUAGAGGGAAUGCAGGCGGUGAUCGCGAAGGCUGUCAGUGACCGGCCCC
Molecule: unclassified non-coding RNA, 559 nt
Filed under: Hevea brasiliensis (rubber tree)
Lineage: Eukaryota; Viridiplantae; Streptophyta; Magnoliopsida; Malpighiales; Euphorbiaceae
Source: RNAcentral